RNAcentral lists this ribosomal RNA (701 nucleotides) under Escherichia coli. RNAcentral's name for it is "partial 23S ribosomal RNA". It matches the Rfam family "Bacterial large subunit ribosomal RNA", at positions 2242 to 2925 of the family's 2925-position model. RNAcentral also lists the same sequence under 1 other name. Lineage: Bacteria; Pseudomonadati; Pseudomonadota; Gammaproteobacteria; Enterobacterales; Enterobacteriaceae. The record is from RNAcentral.
GGGUUGCGGACAGUGUCUGGUGGGUAGUUUGACUGGGGCGGUCUCCUCCUAAAGAGUAACGGAGGAGCACGAAGGUUGGCUAAUCCUGGUCGGACAUCAGGAGGUUAGUGCAAUGGCAUAAGCCAGCUUGACUGCGAGCGUGACGGCGCGAGCAGGUGCGAAAGCAGGUCAUAGUGAUCCGGUGGUUCUGAAUGGAAGGGCCAUCGCUCAACGGAUAAAAGGUACUCCGGGGAUAACAGGCUGAUACCGCCCAAGAGUUCAUAUCGACGGCGGUGUUUGGCACCUCGAUGUCGGCUCAUCACAUCCUGGGGCUGAAGUAGGUCCCAAGGGUAUGGCUGUUCGCCAUUUAAAGUGGUACGCGAGCUGGGUUUAGAACGUCGUGAGACAGUUCGGUCCCUAUCUGCCGUGGGCGCUGGAGAACUGAGGGGGGCUGCUCCUAGUACGAGAGGACCGGAGUGGACGCAUCACUGGUGUUCGGGUUGUCAUGCCAAUGGCACUGCCCGGUAGCUAAAUGCGGAAGAGAUAAGUGCUGAAAGCAUCUAAGCACGAAACUUGCCCCGAGAUGAGUUCUCCCUGACCCUUUAAGGGUCCUGAAGGAACGUUGAAGACGACGACGUUGAUAGGCCGGGUGUGUAAGCGCAGCGAUGCGUUGAGCUAACCGGUACUAAUGAACCGUGAGGCUUAACCUUACAACGCCGAAG